Molecule: long non-coding RNA, 1083 nt
Filed under: Sus scrofa (pig)
Lineage: Eukaryota; Metazoa; Chordata; Mammalia; Artiodactyla; Suidae
Description: lncRNA (ENSSSCG00015011879.1)
Source: RNAcentral
GAAGAAACGGUGUGGCUGCAACACAGGGGAAAGGGGCAAAUGGUGUAAAAUAAGGCCAGUGGCAGGCAGGUGCCAGACGGCGUAAAACCCGAAGACUGUGUAAGAGCAGGCCAGCAUGGCUCUAAAGGCAAUAGGAUGACACCAUACGGUUUUAGAACCCGGACAGACGUGCUCCUAAUUUCAAGAUCACUUCUGCUGCUGUGAGAAUGGAGUAGUCCAGGAGUGAGGCGCGAGGACCCUCCCGCACUCACCAGGUCCGGCCGGUAGUACCUGUGCACCACCUCCGCGCCGGCGCACAUGGCCAGGAGACUGGCGGCGAACAUUUUCAGGGCCGCACCCACAGCAUAUUCCAUAUUCCCAAGCUAGGGGUUGAAUCAGAGGUGCAGCUGCCAGCCUAUACCACAGCUACAGCAACAUGGUAUCUGGGCCACGGCUUCAACCUACAACACAGCUUCAACCUACAACACAGCUCACAGCAAUGCUGGAUCCUUAAUCCACUGAGCAAGGCCAGGGAUCAAACCCACAUCCUUAUGGAUACUAGUCAGGUUUGUUACCACUGAGCCCCAGUGGGAACUCCGGUAUUUCAUAUUUUUUGAUGUUACUGUGAAUGGUAUUUUUUCUGAUGGUUUGUUGGUAGUAUAUAGGAUAUCACAAUUGAUUAUCCUUUACUGAUCUUUUAUUCUACAACUUUAUUAAACUCAUUUAUUCUAGUACCUUUUUUGUAGGUUUCAUAGGCUUUCCUACAUUAAACCAUACAAUGAACUCUGAAUAAAUACGGUAAGCUUUUUUUAUAGAUGUCAUUUAUCAAGUUAAGAAAGUUCCUUUCUGUUCCUAAACUGCUUAAAGUUUUCUUUAUCAGAAAUGGAUGUUGGACUUUGUCAAAUCCUUAAUCUGUAUCUAUUCAGGUGGUCAUAAGGGUUUUGAAAAAAUCGCUAAUAUGAUAAGUUACAUAGAAUGAUUUUUUCAAAUGUUAAGUUAGUCUUAUAUUACAAUCACUCCUCCACAUCCAUUGGUUCCACAGCCAGGGAUUCAACCAUUGAAAGUUAAAAAAAAAAAAAAAGUCCAUAAAGUUCCAAAAAAAAA